Molecule: transfer RNA, 83 nt
Filed under: Christiangramia gaetbulicola
Lineage: Bacteria; Pseudomonadati; Bacteroidota; Flavobacteriia; Flavobacteriales; Flavobacteriaceae
Also listed under: 14 other names
Description: Gramella gaetbulicola tRNA-Tyr
Rfam family: tRNA
About the family: Transfer RNA (tRNA) molecules are approximately 80 nucleotides in length. Their secondary structure includes four short double-helical elements and three loops (D, anti-codon, and T loops).
Source: RNAcentral
GGGGAGAUACUCAAGCGGCCAACGAGGACAGACUGUAAAUCUGUUGUCUUUCGACUUCGCAGGUUCGAAUCCUGCUCUCCCCA